GUGCCAGCAGCCGCGGUAAUACGUAGGAUGCAAGCGUUGUCCGGAAUUAUUGGGCGUAAAGCGAACGUAGGCGGCCUUUUAAGUUUGGUCUUAAAGACCAGGGCUCAACCCUGGGAAUGGACUGAAUACUGGGAGGCUAGAGGACGUCAGAGGAAAGUGGAAUUCCAAGUGUAGCGGUGAAAUGCGUAGAUAUUUGGAGGAACACCAGUGGCGAAAGCGACUUUCUGGGACGUUACUGACGCUGAGGUUCGAAAGCUCGGGGAGCAAACAGGAUUAGAUACCCUGGUAGUCC
This 292-nucleotide ribosomal RNA is filed under the name uncultured bacterium. Its description in RNAcentral is "partial 16S ribosomal RNA". It matches the Rfam family "Bacterial small subunit ribosomal RNA", at positions 505 to 796 of the family's 1533-position model. The record is from RNAcentral.